Hypanus sabinus (Atlantic stingray) is the source of this 5674-nucleotide long non-coding RNA. RefSeq lists it as uncharacterized. The transcript is spliced from 3 exons. Lineage: Eukaryota; Metazoa; Chordata; Chondrichthyes; Myliobatiformes; Dasyatidae. The record is from RefSeq and is a predicted model, not a curated record.
CAACAGCCCACUCACCUUUGCUACCCUUUAUGUUAUUUCCUUAUGUUUAACACAAUUAUUACGUGCCUUUUCCAGCUCAAACUGUGAAUUGAUUUAAAGUCAGUCCCAUAAUUUAAUAGUUUUUAUUUGAAAACUAUCUACCCUCGCAAAGAUUGUACUGAAGACUGCAUUUCAUUUUUCUUCAGCCUUGUACGCUUCACAUUGAAAUAGUAUGUAUUUCGACGGUUUCAUAAUGACAAAAUGUACACGACACAGAAUGAAGUUUUCCAAUUAGUUACAAGGCAUAAUUAAGCAUAGUGUGGAUAUUUCUGUCAUGUGAAUAUCAUUCCUUCACUUGUUUUAAGCCCUUCUUCUGUAAACCCAACAUGUUUAUGUAUUCUGUAAAGGUGUCUGUCUUUACGUCCAUUAUCCUACGUCUUGCCAUAAGCCCCUAAUUCUUAACACUACCAACCUUUUAGUUUCUAAUUUGCUAAGUGGCAAGUCUAUAUCCACAGCUUAACAUUUAACAGCUUUUGGAGCUAAACAGUCAACAUCAUCAUUUCCCUCAACAGUGUGAUGUGCAGGACCCAUCAUGUGCAGACAUAUAAAUCAAACUUUAUAUAUGAAAUAGCGUUUGACAAGUUUCCAACAGUCAAUGUGACCUACUGCCAGAAUGACCUGUUUAAGACUCAUCAAAACCGAAAUAUAUUCUGAGCAAAUUAUAAGGACCAAUUUCUUCCAUCCACUGUAAGCCUAAACUAUUGGCAAAGAAUUCUGCCUUCUAUGCUGAUAAAUGGCUAUAAGUCAUUUCUUUAUCAUUACCUGCAAUUCAGGCACACAAAAACAGCCACACCAACAUCCCCAAUUAAAUUAUCUUUUGAUUCAUCUGUAAAAAUGGUUACUGUAUGAUAAUAACUUUCAUUAAUAUACUGAUGACCAACAGACUCUCAGGCAGAACCGAAUCCAAUCGUGUAAAAACUAAAAUCAACUGAAGUCAUUGGGAAAAACAAUGUGGGGUUACAGAGAACGCUACAGUGGGAUAUACUGUAUCAUCAAAUACACCCGUAUUCCCAGCGUGAUAAGAACCCAGCCACCCAAAACAAAAAACACUCUUCUAGUGAUGUCCCCAACCGUCCUCCAGCGCACCUUUAACAGGAUGAUCAUUUCCUUGACCCGCAAAUUAAUCCAGUAUGUUGACAUCAACUUGAAGCUCUGUUACUUUGAGGCCAAUUGUCCCAUUGCAAUCAGUAAAGCCAAAACAGGAGACAACAUUACCGCACCAGAACACAAUCUAAAAGUCUGUAAUUGUAUCACAUACAAACACUUUUAAUUUGAAUAUGAAGAUGAUUCACAAGACACACAGAUAUAAUCAAGAACAGAUCAAAUUAAAUAAAUAUAAUUGGUCAACAAAGAUUUUCAUGUUGCACCCAAGAAUACCCACAUAGAUGUCUGAGGAGAUUUAAAGCUCCUUUACAUUUAUCAAUUAUUUUACUGAUAGGUGCUUCCCCGUCAGCUUAUUAUCCAUCCGCAUACUAAGAAAUCUUACCACUGACACUUCCUCGAGACAUUAAUCCUAUAAGUUAAAAUCAAGUGCAAGUCUAAUAAUGCUGUUUGUAAACCACGUAAUGUGUUUUAACGACUGAAAGCUUACAAUCCUCAUCAAUCUGCCCACUGUUUGAUCUACUAAUUGUAAAUUGCAGUUAAUACCUCAAAUCCAUAAAGCUAAGUCAUCUGUAUAUUGUGAUUUACCCAGGGAAUCCCAUUUUCCCAUCUCAGAGAAAAUAUCAUUAAUCAUAAUAUUAAAUAAUGAAGGGCUACAAAUACUGCAUUGUGGGAUUCCAUUCUCUGUGUCAUAGACACAAACAUGCCGACCGUUACUUGGACAGUCCAUACAAAAAAAAACUCAGAAAAAUUAUACAAUGUCCCCCUUACUCCUAAUUUAAUCAAAAGUCCUUUCUUCCAUAUCAUUUCCCUUUUCAGUCUCAAGAAAUACUGCUAUUACAACAUCGUUAUUUAAUUGUGCUUUCCGAAUAUCAUCGUCCAAACCUAAAACUGAAUCUAAUGUCAUUUCACACUUCCAAAAUCCACUCUAAUAAAACACUUUAUCACCACUCUUUCCAAAAUAUAACUCAAGCGCUUGAUUACUAUACAUUCCAUAAGUUUACAUAAAUGAGACUUUCACGAUAUAGGCCCUUAACUAGAAGGAUCAAAUGGGGAUCUGCCAGGUUUUCAGGCACUACUAUUUCCAUUUUCCAUGAGGAAAGUAGAUGCACAAUUCAAAUAUUUAAUAUUUUACAAAUGCGAAUUAUAUACAAUUACAAUUUCAAAUAUCACUCUUUCCUGGAGACACCUGACCUGCAUUAUUAAUAGACUUCUUAAAUUCAUACACAGAAAUCUCUCCAUCAGUGAUACUAUCAUUGCUGCAGCUGACUUCCAUCUCAUCAGGGUAUUCACUGAAAAAUAUAUCCCUGCAUUGUUUAACUUCUUCACUUAAAUUAUCCUGAUUAUGAAUCUCAGCAAAUGACCCAGCCAGUAACACAAUUGUUUCUGUAACAAUCAUUUUGCCCUCAUUAAUCAGCACUGGAAUAUUAUGAUCCCCACAAAUCCACCCAUUUUCUAAAUCAUAUCCCAAACAAUUCCAAGUUUGAUAUCCCUUCCAAUAUUAUCUCCAUAUAACCUCCAGUAAAUCACCUACUUCCUCACCACGGCCUUUGCCCUUUUAUUGGUAAUAAAGUAGCUCGGAGACCGAUGCACCAUCACAUAAAAACUCACAUUUCUCCCAAUUUGCUUCCUGUCCCGUUAUAAAUCCAAAUCCAAACUCAUAAAGACAGGAAGGCUGUCUGACGUUCACAUUAACUAAUCACCCUCCGAGUUCCCAUUUGAGCGACAGGUACUACAGCCAAUGACAGCAGGGUUCAGUGUGAAAUCUGAGCUCCGAUAGGCUGGAGGAAAUCGGCCCUUGACCAGCCCCUUCUCUUCCGCUCCAUCGCCAUGGCGGAGAUCAGCGAGUCGCUUCUGCCUCCCUAAACUUAAAUUCCGACAUAUACCUGUCUAGUAGACUCUUAAACUUCACUCGUGUCUCUGCCUCCACCACUGACUCGAGCAGUGCAUUCCACGCACCAACCACGCUCUGAGUAUAAAAUCUUCCUCUAAUAUCCCCCUUGAACUUCCCUCCCCUUACCUUAAAGCCAUGUCCUCUUGUAUUGAGCAGUGGUGCCCUGGGGAAGAGGCGCUGGCUGUCCACUCUAUCUAUUCCCCUUAAUAUCAACAAUACCUCUAUCAUUUCUCCUCUCAUCCUCCUUCUCUCCAGAGAGUAAAGCCUCAGCUCGCUUAAUCUCUGAUCAUAAUCCAUACUCUCUAAACCAGGCAGCAUUCUGGUAAAUCUGCUCUGUAACCUUUCCAGUGCUUCCACGUCCUUCUUAUUGUGAAGUGACCAGAACUGGACAGAGUACUCCGUGUGGCCCAACCAGAGUUUUAUAGAGCUGCAUCAUUACAUCGCGACUCAUAAACUCUGUCCCUCGAGUUAUGAAAGCUAACACCCCAUAAGCUUUCUUAACUACUCUGUCUACCCAUGAGGCAACUUUCAGGGAUCUGUGGACGUUCAGCCCCAGAUCCCUCUGCUCCUCCACACUUCCAAGUAUCCUGCCAUUUUUUUUUUUUUGUACUCUGCCUUGGAGUUUGUCCUUACAAGUGUACCACCUCACACUUCUCCAGUUUGAACUCUAUCUGCCACUUCUCAGCCCACUCCUGCAUCCUAUCAAUGUCUCUCUGCAAUCUUUGACAAUCCUCUGCACUAUCCACAACACCACCAACCUUUGUGUCUUCUGCAAAGUUGCCAACCCAUCCUUCUACCCCCACAUCCAGGUCGUUAAUAAAAAUCACAAAAAUUAGGGAUACCAGAACUGAUUCUUGUGGGACACCACUAGUCACAACCCUCCAAUCCGAAUGUACACCCUCCACCACAACUCUCUGCUUUCUGCAGGCAAGCCAAUUCUGAAUCCACCUGGUCAAACAUCCCUUGUUCCCAUGCCUUCUGACUUUAUGAAUAAGCCUACCGUGUGUAACCUUAUCAAAUGCAUUACUAAAAUCCAUGUAGAUCACAUCCACUGCACUACUCUCAUCUAUAUGCCUGGUCACCUCCUGAAAGAACUCCAUCAGGCUUGUUAGACACGAUCUGCCCUUCAGAAAGCCAUGCUGACUGUCACUGAUCAGACCAUGAUUCUUUAAAUGCCAAUAAAUCCUAUCUUUGUGAAUCUUUUCCAACAGCUUUCCCACCACAGAUGUAAGGCUCAAUGGUCUAUAAUUAUCCAGACUGUCCCUACUACCCUUUUUGAACAAGGGGACAACAUUCGCCACCCUCCAAUCCUCCGGUACCAUUCCCGUGGACAAUGAGGACAUAAUGAUCCUAGCCAGAGGCUCAGCAAUCUAUUUCCUCGCCUCGGAUGCAGAAUUGGGAAGUGGCAGAGGGAGUUCAACACAGAUGAAGAGAUUCAUUUCUGCAGGUCAAAUUUGAACACAGAAUAUAAUAUUAAUGAAUGCCAGGGACCUGAUCGGAGUCAUCCCUGUCCCUGGCAGCUGGACACAUCUCACCAUCCGGGUGACUCUAUCGCCAGCACAGAACCGCUGGUCGGUGGUUCACAACAGGAGGGACUCUAACCCUGUUACGGCGGAGGGAGGAUCGGGUGAGAGUUAAUGUUCUGGAAAUGGAGGGGUUGCCUCAUCGAUCAGAGGGAAUGAAAGGUUGGAGAGGCUUCAGUUGUUUCCUCUGUAGCGAUGGGGGCUGAGGGGAGACCAGAGGCAGACCGAGGCUGAGUAGAGAUCUGAGAGAAGAGAACCGACAUCGUUUGUUCACCAGGCAGACGUUGAUGGACUUUCGAUCGGUCAGGACAUGAAAGGAUACAAGGCGAAGGCAGGAAAAUGGAGCUGAGAGGGAAAAUGGAUUUACCGUGAUGAAGUGGCAGAGCAGUUUUGAUGGGCCAAAUGGCCUAAUUCUGCUUCUGUCCCUCAUGGUCUUAUGGUCCAAGAGCAGCCUCUCAUUCAAUGAGAGCAAGAGCAAUGAACUGGUUCUGGACUUUGGAGGAGGAAACAGGAACCCAUGAGGCAAUCCUCAUCGGGGCUCAAAGGUGGAGACGUUCAGCAACUUUAAAUUCCACAGUGUGAACAUUUCAGAGGAUCUGUCCCGAGCCCGGGACACAAGUGCAAUUACAAGAAAGCAGGAAAUGUCUGUUCCUGCUCAGAAGCUUGAAUGGAUUCAGAAUGACAUCUAAAACCCUGACAAACUUGGACAGAUGUGUGGUGGGGAGCAUGUUCAGAGGUUGCAUCAUGGCCUGGUAUGGAAACACCAAAGCCCUUGAAAGGAAAAUCCGAUUAGAAAUAGUGGAUAUGGCCCAGUACAUCACGGUAAAACUCUCCUUACAACUGAGCACAUCUCUGAGGGCUGCUGUCACAGGAAAUCAGCAUCCAUCAUCAAGGACCCCCACCACCCAGGCCAUGCUCUCUCCUCAAUGCUGCCAUCAGGAAGAAGGUGCAUGAGCCUCAGGAGCCUCAACCCCAGGUUCAGGAACAGUUAUUACACUCAACCAACAGGUCCUAAAAAAGAGGGGAUAAUUUUACUCAAAUUAACUUGCCCCAUCACUAAACCAUUCCCACAACCGAUGGACACAAUCAACAACUCUUCAUCUCAUGUUCUUAAUUU